GCGAUUGUGGCGAAGUGGUUAACGCACCGGAUUGUGGCUCCGGCACUCGUGGGUUCGAUUCCCAUCAGUCGCC
Molecule: transfer RNA, 73 nt
Filed under: Phocicoccus pinnipedialis
Lineage: Bacteria; Bacillati; Bacillota; Bacilli; Caryophanales; Salinicoccaceae
Also listed under: 3 other names
Description: Jeotgalicoccus pinnipedialis tRNA
Rfam family: tRNA
About the family: Transfer RNA (tRNA) molecules are approximately 80 nucleotides in length. Their secondary structure includes four short double-helical elements and three loops (D, anti-codon, and T loops).
Source: Rfam by way of RNAcentral